ACAUCACCUCUAGCAUUACAAGUAUUAGAGGCAAUGCCUGCCCAGUGACUGAGGUUAAACGGCCGCGGUAUUCUGACCGUGCAAAGGUAGCAUAAUCACUUGUUCCUUAAUUAGGGACUAGAAUGAACGGCUAAACGAGGGUUUAACUGUCUCUUAUUUUUCAUCCGUGAAACUGACCUUCCCGUGAAGAGGCGGGAAUAACAAAACUAGACGAGAAGACCCUAUGGAGCUUUAAUUUAUUAAUUUAAUUUCAACAAUCCACAAUCUAAUGAAAACAAAAUCUGAAAGCUAAAUUAAUGAUUUAGGUUGGGGUGACCUCGGAGAAUAAAACAACCUCCGAAAGAUUAUAAUCAAGGCUGACAAGUCAAAAUAAACACGUUUAUCACUAAUCGACCCAUUAAUUUUGAUCGACGGACCAAGUUACCCUAGGGAUAACAGCGCAAUCCUAUUUAAGAGUUCCUAUCGAAAAUAGGGUUUACGACCUCGAUGUUGGAUCAGGAUAUCCCAAUGGUGCAGCAGCUAUUAAUGGUUCGUUUGUUCAACGAUUAAAGC
RNAcentral lists this ribosomal RNA (552 nucleotides) under Meriones libycus (Libyan jird). Its description in RNAcentral is "partial large subunit ribosomal RNA". It matches the Rfam family "Bacterial large subunit ribosomal RNA", at positions 1813 to 2594 of the family's 2925-position model. The record is from RNAcentral. Lineage: Eukaryota; Metazoa; Chordata; Mammalia; Rodentia; Muridae.